This is a long non-coding RNA of Lolium perenne, 517 nucleotides long. RefSeq lists it as uncharacterized. The record is from RefSeq and is a predicted model, not a curated record. NCBI's taxonomy places the organism in Eukaryota, Viridiplantae, Streptophyta, Magnoliopsida, Poales, Poaceae.
CUUCCGUCCCGAGAGCUUCUCUACAAACCCCAAGUGCUCCCCAUGGCUUCCAUGGUCGCCACCGCCGCUGCCUCAAUCUUGAUUCUGGCACUCCUCCUUGUGUCCUCCGAUGCCACUCCUACUGUCCCUAAGUGCAUGACGUACCCUGCACCGGUGGUUUCCGAGUGCGUAAACCCCGAUGAAUGCAUUAAUGUGUGCACAGUCCUAGGCGGCGGCACCGGAGGAUACUGCUCAUCCUACAAGGCCUGCUACUGUAUUAAGUGCUCAAGUCAAGAGGCUUUUUUCCUCGCACGCGCAGAUCUCAUACGGGUUCUCGAAGAAGUCAAGAGGCCGUGAAGCAUUCUACAAAGUCAAUUUCAGUUGAACAUAAAAAACUUUAGCUUGAAUGCAUGAUUGGGCGUCACUUGUUAGGAGUAGUACCAAUAAGUACCAGAUGAUGGGCAGCCUUCGAUUCGUGUGGUUAAUUAGUUUCUUUGUCUUCAAAGUAUGAAGACAGUAAUAACUCUAUUUCAAAUCA